UUGAAUUCACAAAGUGAAUUUCAUGUACCUACAGCAAAAUGUAUUCAUAAGUUCAUAAAUUAAGUACAAUCAUAAUUCAUCUCACAUCAAGUUAUCAGAAAUAAGUAAUUUAUUUGCUUGUGGUAAAGUAAUAGUAAACAUGUUAAAAUUACAGAAUAGAAUUAUUGUCAGUUUCAUGUCAACUUGUUUACAAAAGUCAGAUAAAAUAAACAUAACAAGAUCAAUAUAAAUUUUAUAUUUUUUUAAUAAACAUGUCUUUACUUCGUUCUAAAUCACCUACUAGAGCGGAAGCUAUUGCAAUAGCUUUGAGACCAGCACCUGUUUUUAGCAAUGGAGUUUUACUAGGUAACUGGGUGGAAGACCGAGCCGAAUGCCCUCCCCAGGGCACAUUCUAUUUUCCUUAAGAAGUUGUAGAUGAUAAGAAACUUGAAGUAGAGAAGCGGCUGCUAGAUUUUAGGCAAAACAAACUUUUGAAUUUGCAGGGUAACCUCCAUUCAAUAAUAAAGCAUGACAGCCAUGAGCUUUGCAAUAACUUUUUAACAACAAAUGACCUUGUUUACAACCACUUGAACAAGCCUUUGUGUGGUCCCAAUUAUCGAUAUUACAGGAGGAGCCACCACCAGUACUAUCCCCAACCAGAUAACAUGGAAUGCUUUUCACACCAAGGGUAUUUUACCGAAUGGGGUCUCCAAAAAUUCAUGCAGAGAGAAUGGAAAUGCGAUAAUAUGUCGGAUUAUAUCUCUACGGUGUAUGAAGACACUUAUGUGCCACCCAAGCCACAGGAAUACCUACAAAGAUGUGAACGAAAAGCUAGAACAUCGAGCUUUACAAAAAGUAUCCGAUUUAAGAUGACAAAGUCAAAGUAAAUUGAUAACAUCAAGAAUCAUUUUCUCACCUAAAUUAAGGAGUCUUUUAAUAUCACAUCAUUUUAUUUCAUGACACGGACAGUGACGUCCAUAUAA
This is an RNA transcript of Plutella xylostella (diamondback moth), 962 nucleotides long. RefSeq lists it as uncharacterized. Lineage: Eukaryota; Metazoa; Arthropoda; Insecta; Lepidoptera; Plutellidae. The record is from RefSeq and is a predicted model, not a curated record.